This 543-nucleotide long non-coding RNA is filed under the name Callithrix jacchus (white-tufted-ear marmoset). RNAcentral's name for it is "lncRNA (ENSCJAG00000072704.1)". The record is from RNAcentral. Lineage: Eukaryota; Metazoa; Chordata; Mammalia; Primates; Cebidae.
GGAUGUGUCAAAGGUCUCUAGGGCAGAGAGAGAAGGUCAUGUCAAAACCACACACUGGCCAGUAAAACAUCUUUUAUAAAAUGUGAUGAAGAAUUGUCUCUGAGAAAAUGAAUUUUCAAAAGGGAGAGCAAGAGCAUAGGAAGAGCAAGAUCUAAAAUACUUUCUACUGAAGACACCAAAGAAAAGAAAAUAAUAUGCAUGAUAGAGCAAUUUCUGCAACUAUUGACAGGACAACCAGAGAAAUCUGCACAGACACGAAAGAUGUCUUCUGAACAGUGGUGAAUAAAAAGAAAAAAAAAAAAGAAGUGAACUGCAAACUUAAAUAGUACUCUGCUCAUCACACACCAAGACUCCACUGUCACCACUACCAGGCUUACACUGACCACUCACAUCUCAAGGUCAGAUGCUUCCUCCAGAGCCCACAAUUAUUCUACUUCCUCCUCCAUUUGGUCUUCAGUGAAUUAUCACAAAAAUAUGACAAGACCUGGAACCAGCAGAAGUCACAACCACCAAAGCCUUCAUUCAGGUUAAUAUGUUUAUAAA